Molecule: long non-coding RNA, 542 nt
Organism: Magnolia sinica
Lineage: Eukaryota; Viridiplantae; Streptophyta; Magnoliopsida; Magnoliales; Magnoliaceae
Exons: 2
Source: RefSeq, a predicted model, not a curated record
AAAACAAUAGAAAAUAGCAAAAAAUAUUUCUGUUCCAAACCAAACUAAAUUAGCUCUGUUCUUGAUGUAAAGUUUUUUGUUCAAAUUGGGAGGCUUCUAAGAAUAUCAUUAUCUUUUCUUUUUCUUUUGCUCUGAUCUUGAUGUGUACCGUUGUUUGCUCAAAUUGUAAAGGAGGUUUCUAAGUUCUUUCAUUUUUUUUUUCUUUUGACAGGCUUGUCGGUUGAUGACAAUUCGCAAGGAGUAUAACGGCUAUAUGGAGCUCUUUCUGCUCAUAUGUCCAAUUAAUGCAAUUUUUGCAUGGUAGCCUGUUAAAAAUGACAGUUUAGAUUGUUCAAUUGGAGUAUCCAAGUUAUGGAUUGGAUCAUCCUAUCAAUACAAUAAAACCAAAUCAUCCAACAGGUGCAAUAGGGCCAAUCAAGGAUUGAUAAAGGCUUCUGUUUUUUUUUUCUUUUUUCUUUUUUAUGUGGUGGCCUGUUAAAUGUGUUUUGGAUUUAAUGGACAAUUCAGAUUGUUCAAUUAGAUUCUGCAAGUUAUGAAUUGAA